Molecule: long non-coding RNA, 789 nt
Filed under: Homo sapiens (human)
Lineage: Eukaryota; Metazoa; Chordata; Mammalia; Primates; Hominidae
Description: HSALNT0312831
Source: RNAcentral
UUAUUAUGUCAUAUCCUUUAGAAAUAUGGAACAUUCUGGGAGGCCGAGGUGGGCGGAUCACGAGGUCAGGAGAUUGAGACCAUCCUGGCUAACACGGUGAAACCCCGUCUCUACUAAAAAUACAAAAAAAUUAGCCGGGCGUGGCGGCGGGCGCCUGUAGUCCCAGCUACUUGGGAGGCUGAGGCAGGAGAAUGGUGCGAACCCGGGAGGCAGAUUUUGCAGAGAGCCGAGAUCGUGCCACUGCACUCCAGCCUGGGCGACAGAGCAAGACUCCGUCUCAAAACAAAAAACAAACAAACAAAUAUGGAGCAUUCUGAUAUGAAUAAGACACUUGCUCACUUCUCAAUUCCUUGGUGUCCAGCUCUACAAGUGUAUAUAGACUUCCAAAGAAUAUUUAAAUCCUUUAACAAAAAUGCCACCUAAGAAAAUAUGAAAUACUUCAGUCUGUCUGUCAGUGCUCACUUCCUGUCUAGAAACUUUCAGGCUCCGGCACAAAUGAACCAUGUUCUUCGCCUAAGUCAUUUAUGGAACAUCUGCUUUCGGUUUAGCAUCAGAUACAAUGUAUUUCUUUGGAAUUGACAGGGGAAACAAAGCAAAGAAGAAUGACACUGAAGAAUCAAAAAAAAAAAUGAGCAUAAGACCCAUGAAGAUUACAGACACAUACACUCCUAAAAUUAAACAUUAAGCGGAAUAAAAAUAAUCCCAGAUUAUAUGGUCUGACAUGCCAGAAGAAAUAAAAACCUAAGGAAUUAGUUAAAAUCUGUGCAAAAAAAAAAAAAAAAAAAAAAA